RNAcentral lists this ribosomal RNA (378 nucleotides) under uncultured bacterium. RNAcentral's name for it is "bacterial SSU rRNA". It matches the Rfam family "Bacterial small subunit ribosomal RNA", at positions 28 to 408 of the family's 1533-position model. The record is from RNAcentral.
GACGAACGCUGGCGGCGUGCUUAACACAUGCAAGUCGAGCGGUAAGGCCCUUUCGGGGUACACGAGCGGCGAACGGGUGAGUAACACGUGGGUGACCUGCCCUCAGCUCUGGGAUAAGCCUGGGAAACCGGGUCUAAUACUGGAUAUGACUCCAUGACGCAUGUUGUGGGGUGGAAAGCCUUGUGCGGCUGAGGAUGGGCCCGCGGCCUAUCAGCUUGUUGGUGGGGUGANGGCCUACCAAGGCGACGACGGGUAGCCGGCCUGAGAGGGCGACCGGCCACACUGGGACUGAGACACGGCCCAGACUCCUACGGGAGGCAGCAGUGGGGAAUCUUGCGCAAUGGGCGAAAGCCUGACGCAGCGACGCCGCGUGGAGGA